GGGGCCAUAGCUCAGCUGGGAGAGCGCUACGUUGGCAGCGUAGAGGUCGGUGGUUCGAGCCCCCUUGGCUCCA
RNAcentral lists this transfer RNA (73 nucleotides) under Bacillus spizizenii. Its description in RNAcentral is "tRNA-Ala". It matches the Rfam family "tRNA". From Rfam's summary of the family: Transfer RNA (tRNA) molecules are approximately 80 nucleotides in length. Their secondary structure includes four short double-helical elements and three loops (D, anti-codon, and T loops). Lineage: Bacteria; Bacillati; Bacillota; Bacilli; Caryophanales; Bacillaceae. The record is from RNAcentral.